Molecule: ribosomal RNA, 520 nt
Filed under: uncultured prokaryote
Description: bacterial SSU rRNA
Rfam family: Bacterial small subunit ribosomal RNA
Source: RNAcentral
GGGCUCCUACUUGCUUAAAACCGGGGGCGAAUAGUAAACCUCUUUCGUCCGGGACGACUGGUCUCUGUUUAAUUUCGGUGGCCCAUGACGGUCCCGGAACAAUCAGCCCCGGCUAACUACGUGCCAGCAGCCGCGGUAAUACGUAUGGUGCAAGCGUUAAUCGGAAUUACUGGGCCUAAAGCGUGCGCAAGCGGCCCUGCAAAACCGAUGUGAAAUCCCCGAGCUUAACCUGGUAAUUGCCUUGGUGACUGCACGGCUUGACUGUGGCAGAGGGGGAUUGAAUUCCUCUUGUAACAAUGACAUGCGUAGAUAUGUGGAGGAACACCGAUGGCUAAGGCAGACCCCUGGGACUGUACUGACCCUCAUGCACUAAAUCGUGGGGAGCACACAGGAUUAAAUACCCUGGUAUUCCACUCCCUAAACUAUGUCCACUGGUUGUCGGGUAUUCACUUACUCAGUACCCAACCUGACACGUGAAGUUGACCGCCUGGGGAGUACGGCGCCAAGGUUAAAACUCAAA